CCCUUAGAUGUUCUGGGCCGCACGCGCGCUACACUGUUCGACGCAGCGAGUCUUAACCUUGACCGAAAGGUUUGGGUAAUCUUCAGCAAAGUCGGACGUGAUGGGGAUCGAUCAUUGCAAUUAUUGAUCGUGAACGAGGAAUUCCUAGUAAGUGCAAGUCAUCAGCUUGCGCUGAUUACGUCCCUGCCCUUUGUACACACCGCCCGUCGCUACUACCGAUUGAAUGGUUUAGUGAGAUCUCUGGAUUGACGCUGGCUAGGGGGCGACCCUUGGCCAGGCUGUCGAGAAACUGCUCAAACUUGAUCAUUUAGAGGAAGUAAAAGUCGUAACA
This 331-nucleotide ribosomal RNA is filed under the name uncultured eukaryote. RNAcentral's name for it is "partial 18S ribosomal RNA". It matches the Rfam family "Eukaryotic small subunit ribosomal RNA", at positions 1470 to 1796 of the family's 1831-position model. The record is from RNAcentral.